UACGGAGGGUGCAAGCGUUGUCCGGAUUUAUUGGGUUUAAAGGGUGCGUAGGCGGCUUAUUAAGUCAGGGGUGAGAGACUAUUGCUUAACAAUGGCAGUGCCUUUGAUACUGAUAGGCUUGAGUACAGUUGAGGCAGAUGGAACGGGUGGUGUAGCGGUGAAAUGCAUAGAUACCAUCCAGAACACCGAUUGCGAAGGCAGUCUGCUAAACUGUAACUGACGCUGAGGCACGAAAGCGUGGGGAUCGAACAGG
This 253-nucleotide unclassified non-coding RNA is filed under the name uncultured Cytophagaceae bacterium. RNAcentral describes it as "contains 16S-23S intergenic spacer region". It matches the Rfam family "Bacterial small subunit ribosomal RNA", at positions 524 to 776 of the family's 1533-position model. Lineage: Bacteria; Pseudomonadati; Bacteroidota; Cytophagia; Cytophagales; Cytophagaceae. The record is from RNAcentral.